CCUACGGGUGGCAGCAGUGAGGAAUAUUGGUCAAUGGGCGCGAGCCUGAACCAGCCAAGUAGCGUGAAGGAUGACUGCCCUACGGGUUGUAAACUCCUUUUAUAAAGGAAUAAAGUGAGGCACGUGUGCCUUUUUGUAUGUACUUUAUGAAUAAGGACCGGCUAACUUCGUGCCAGCAGCCGCGGUAAUACGGAGGAUCCGAGCGUUAUCCGGAUUUAUUGGGUUUAAAGGGAGCGUAGAUGGGUUGUUAAGUCAGUUGUGAAAGUUUGCGGCUCAACCGUAAAAUUGCAAUUGAUACUGGCAGCCUUGAGUAGAGUUGAGGUAGGCGGAAUUCGUGGUGUAGCGGUGAAAUGCUGAGAUAUCACGAAGAACACCGAUUGCGAAGGCAGCUUACUAAACUGCCACUGACAUUGAUGCGCGAAAGUGUGGGUAUCAAACAGGAUUAGAUACCCCAGUAGUC
RNAcentral lists this ribosomal RNA (460 nucleotides) under uncultured bacterium. RNAcentral describes it as "partial 16S ribosomal RNA". It matches the Rfam family "Bacterial small subunit ribosomal RNA", at positions 338 to 795 of the family's 1533-position model. The record is from RNAcentral.